UGCCUACGGGGCGCAGCAGUGGGGAAUAUUGCACAGUGGGGGAAACCCUGAUGCAGCGACGCCGCGUGAGUGAAGAAGUAUCUCGGUAUGUAAAGCUCUGUCAGCAGGGAAGAAAGAAAUGACGGUACCUGACCAAGAAGCCCCGGCUAACUACGUGCCAGCAGCCGCGGUAAUACGUAGGGGGCAAGCGUUAUCCGGAAUUACUGGGUGUAAAGGGAGCGUAGACGGUUAAGUAAGUCUGGAGUGAAAGUCCGGGGCCCAACCCCGGGACUGCUCUGGAAACUAUUCAACUUGAGGGCAGGAGA
Molecule: ribosomal RNA, 305 nt
Filed under: uncultured bacterium
Lineage: Bacteria
Description: bacterial SSU rRNA
Rfam family: Bacterial small subunit ribosomal RNA
Source: RNAcentral